This 400-nucleotide ribosomal RNA is filed under the name uncultured bacterium. RNAcentral's name for it is "bacterial SSU rRNA". It matches the Rfam family "Bacterial small subunit ribosomal RNA", at positions 28 to 429 of the family's 1533-position model. The record is from RNAcentral.
AUUGAACGCUGGCGGCAUGCUUUACACAUGCAAGUCGAACGGCAGCGGGGGCUUCGGCCUGCCGGCGAGUGGCGAACGGGUGAGUAAUGCAUCGGAACGUGCCCAAGUCGUGGGGGAUAACGUAUCGAAAGGUACGCUAAUACCGCAUACGCCCUGAGGGGGAAAGCGGGGGAUUCUUCGGAACCUCGCGCGAUUGGAGCGGCCGAUGUCGGAUUAGCUAGUAGGUGAGGUAAAGGCUCACCUAGGCGACGAUCCGUAGCGGGUCUGAGAGGAUGAUCCGCCACACUGGGACUGAGACACGGCCCAGACUCCUACGGGAGGCAGCAGUGGGGAAUUUUGGACAAUGGGCGCAAGCCUGAUCCAGCCAUGCCGCGUGAGUGAAGAAGGCCUCGGUUGUAAG